This 429-nucleotide ribosomal RNA is filed under the name Bacillota bacterium. RNAcentral's name for it is "Firmicutes bacterium partial 16S ribosomal RNA". It matches the Rfam family "Bacterial small subunit ribosomal RNA", at positions 355 to 776 of the family's 1533-position model. The record is from RNAcentral. Lineage: Bacteria; Bacillati; Bacillota.
UGGGGAAUUUUGGACAAUGGGGGCAACCCUGAUCCAGCAAUGCCGCGUGUGUGAAGAAGGCCUUCGGGUUGUAAAGCACUUUUGUCCGGAAAGAAAACUUCGGGGCUAAUACCCCUGGAGGAUGACGGUACCGGAAGAAUAAGCACCGGCUAACUACGUGCCAGCAGCCGCGGUAAUACGUAGGGUGCGAGCGUUAAUCGGAAUUACUGGGUGUAAAGCGUGCGCAGGCGGUGCUGUAAGACCGAUGUGAAAUCCCCGGGCUUAACCUGGGAACUGCAUUGGUGACUGCAGCGCUGGAGUAUGGCAGAGGGGGGUGGAAUUCCACGUGUAGCAGUGAAAUGCGUAGAGAUGUGGAGGAACACCGAUGGCGAAGGCAGCCCCCUGGGCCAAUACUGACGCUCAUGCACGAAAGCGUGGGGAGCAAACAGG